CCUACGGGUGUCAGCAGUGGGGAAUAUUGGGCAAUGGAGGCAACUCUUACCCAGCAAUGCCGCGUGAAUGAAGAAGGUCUUUGGAUUGUAAAGUUCUUUAAUUGGGGACGAAAAAAAUGACGGUACCCAAGGAAUAAAGUCCGGCUAACUACGUGCCAGCAGCUGCGGUAAUACGUAGGGGGCAAGCGUUGUUCGGAAUGACUGGGCGUAAAGGGUGUGUAGUCGGUGUAGCAAGUUAGAAGUGAAAUACCUAGAGCUUAACUCAUGUGCUGCUUCUGAAACUGCUGUACUUGAGUGCAGUAGAGGAAAGUGGAAUGCCUAGUGUAGCGGUGGAAUGCAUAGAUAUUA
Molecule: ribosomal RNA, 348 nt
Filed under: uncultured bacterium
Lineage: Bacteria
Description: partial 16S ribosomal RNA
Rfam family: Bacterial small subunit ribosomal RNA
Source: RNAcentral